UACGUAGGGGGCAAGCGUUGUCCGGAAUUACUGGGUGUAAAGGGAGUGUAGGCGGGUAUUUAAGUCAGAUGUGAAAUCCACGGGCUCAACUUGUGGUCUGCAUUUGAAACUGGAUAUCUUGAGUGCUGGAGAGGAAAGCGGAAUUCCUAGUGUAGCGGUGAAAUGCGUAGAUAUUAGGAGGAACACCAGUGGCGAAGGCGGCUUUCUGGACAGUAACUGACGCUGAGGCUCGAAAGCGUGGGGAGCAAACAGG
Molecule: ribosomal RNA, 253 nt
Filed under: uncultured bacterium
Lineage: Bacteria
Also listed under: 1 other name
Description: partial 16S ribosomal RNA
Rfam family: Bacterial small subunit ribosomal RNA
Source: RNAcentral